RNAcentral lists this long non-coding RNA (358 nucleotides) under Crocodylus porosus (Australian saltwater crocodile). Its description in RNAcentral is "lncRNA (ENSCPRG00005001073.1)". Lineage: Eukaryota; Metazoa; Chordata; Crocodylia; Crocodylidae. The record is from RNAcentral.
CCUAGGUUGAACCUGACCCUGAGUUAUCAGGAAAGUGAUGGGGCCAAACUUGAAUGGACCUUUGCCACUUCAGCUUAUAGGAACAGCUAGAGAAGCAGCCAAAGCAGGAAUGGGGGAGGAGGGAAUUCGCACAGUAACCAAGAGAUGGAGAGAUCCAAAGAAAGCUGACUGGUUACAAACAGGCUGAAGAGCCAUCAAGUUAAGAUCCUUUCCAGAGAACUCUGUCUCCUGACAGCAACAGAUCAAUGACUGAGCUGGAAAUAGAAGACAUUUCCCUGAGUUCUUGUUCAUGUACACUGUCCUCUAGUCUAGCCCAUCCUGAGGUGAAUCAUGACCAACUCACCAAGCUUACCCUUCU